Molecule: ribosomal RNA, 253 nt
Filed under: uncultured bacterium
Lineage: Bacteria
Description: partial 16S ribosomal RNA
Rfam family: Bacterial small subunit ribosomal RNA
Source: RNAcentral
UACGAAGGGGGCUAGCGUUGUUCGGAAUCACUGGGCGUAAAGGGCGCGUAGGCGGCUUUAUAAGUCGGGGGUGAAAGCCUGUGGCUCAACCACAGAAUUGCCUUCGAUACUGUAGAGCUUGAGACCGGAAGAGGUAAGUGGAACUGCGAGUGUAGCGGUGAAAUGCGUAGAUAUCUGGAGGAAUACCGGUGGCGAAGGCGGCAUCCUGGACCGGCAUUGACGCUGAUGAGCGAAAGCUAGGGGAGCAAACGGG